AUUAUUCGAUACUGGAAUAGGCUUUUAUCGUUUGAAGACGACCGAUUAACGAAAGUGGUGUUCAAUAUGGAUUAUGAUCGUUGCACAAACAAUUGGUGUAGUGACACUAAAGAUAUUUUCACUAAACUUAAUAUGUUACAUUAUUACGAAAGUAGAACAAUGGUGGAUUUAAAAUCUUUUGAACAAAUUGUACGAACUUAUUACAGUGAUA
RNAcentral lists this long non-coding RNA (211 nucleotides) under Mytilus galloprovincialis (Mediterranean mussel). Lineage: Eukaryota; Metazoa; Mollusca; Bivalvia; Mytilida; Mytilidae. The record is from RNAcentral.